Molecule: ribosomal RNA, 493 nt
Filed under: uncultured bacterium
Lineage: Bacteria
Description: partial 16S ribosomal RNA
Rfam family: Bacterial small subunit ribosomal RNA
Source: RNAcentral
AUUGAACGCUGGCGGAAUGCUUUACACAUGCAAGUCGAACGGUAACAGGUUAAGCUGACGAGUGGCGAACGGGUGAGUAAUACAUCGGAGCGUGCCCAGUCGUGGGGGAUAACGUAGAGAAAUUUACGCUAAUACCGCAUACGAUCUAAGGAUGAAAGCGGGGGACCGUAAGGCCCCGCGCGAUUGGAGCGGCCGAUGGCAGAUUAGGUAGUUGGUGGGGUAAAGGCCUACCAAGCCGACGAUCUGUAGCUGGUCUGAGAGGACGACCAGCCACACUGGGACUGAGACACGGCCCAGACUCCUACGGGAGGCAGCAGUGGGGAAUUUUGGACAAUGGGCGCAAGCCUGAUCCAGCCAUUCCGCGUGCAGGAUGAAGGCCCUCGGGUUGUAAACUGCUUUUGUACAGAACGAAAAGGUCUGGGUUAAUACCCUGGGCUCAUGACGGUACUGUAAGAAUAAGCACCGGCUAACUACGUGCCAGCCGCCGCCGUAA